Molecule: transfer RNA, 86 nt
Filed under: Pseudomonadota bacterium
Lineage: Bacteria; Pseudomonadati; Pseudomonadota
Description: tRNA-Leu
Rfam family: tRNA
About the family: Transfer RNA (tRNA) molecules are approximately 80 nucleotides in length. Their secondary structure includes four short double-helical elements and three loops (D, anti-codon, and T loops). Further hydrogen bonds mediate the characteristic L-shaped molecular structure. tRNAs have two regions of fundamental functional importance: the anti-codon, which is responsible for specific mRNA codon recognition, and the 3' end, to which the tRNAs corresponding amino acid is attached (by aminoacyl-tRNA synthetases). tRNAs cope with the degeneracy of the genetic code in two manners: having more than one tRNA (with a specific anti-codon) for a particular amino acid; and 'wobble' base-pairing, i.e. permitting non-standard base-pairing at the 3rd anti-codon position.
Source: RNAcentral
GCCGAGGUGGUGGAAUUGGUAGACACGCUGUCUUGAGGGGGCAGUGAGCUAUGCUCGUGCGGGUUCGAUUCCCGCUCUCGGCACCA